AUACGUAGGUGCCAAGCGUUAUCCGGAUUUACUGGGCGUAAAGGGCGUGUAGGCGGUCUUGCAAGUCAGAAGUGAAAUUCCUGAGCUCAACUCGGGCGCUGCUUCUGAAACUGCAGGACUUGAGUGCUGGAGGGGAUAGCGGAAUUCCUAGUGGAGCGGUAAAAUGCGCAGAUAUUAGGAAGAACACCGGUGGCGAAGGCGGCUAUCUGGACAGUAACUGACGCUGAGGCGCGAAAGCGUGGGGAGCAAACAGGAUUAGAUACCCUGGUAGUCCACACUGUAAACGAUGAAUGCUAGGUGUAAGAGGUAUCGACCCCUUUUGUGCCGGAGUCAACACAAUAAGCAUUCCGCCUGGGGAGUACGGCCGCAAGGUUGAAACUCAAAUGAAUUGACGGG
RNAcentral lists this ribosomal RNA (396 nucleotides) under uncultured bacterium. RNAcentral describes it as "partial 16S ribosomal RNA". It matches the Rfam family "Bacterial small subunit ribosomal RNA", at positions 523 to 917 of the family's 1533-position model. The record is from RNAcentral.